AUACCAUGCAGAAUCGGGCACAGCGCGCACUACGGUAGAGAACUCGUCUACCAUCUACCGGGGUCCGGCCGGGCAGGGCCAAACUCAAUUCCUUAAGAUUGACAUAGACGCCUCAAGCGGAGCCCCGGUACGCCGCUGCACGAAGUCCCCCGCGCUCCCCGCAAGCCCCGCGGAUAACUCCAUCCCUGGUCUUCCUAACUUGGAGCCCUUCAAGUUUGUCGGUUACAAAACUGAAGAAGGCCUGCAGGUUGAGCACUGGCAGAACGUGUUGAUCGGCAAGCCGGGUGAUUAUGGCGCGGCGCGGGGGGAGGCCCUUAACUACACACACGACUUCUUUGUGUACAGGGAGGGAGGGGACGCGGUGCCGCUCAGAUACAAAGUGACGACCGACAGCUCAGUCCUAGGUGCCGCGAGCGACACCUACACGCACCGCUACACACUACUGCCUCCCCCCACCGCCCCCCUCACACCCGACGUGGCCCUCUGUGAUGACGUGCAAGAUUACCAAGAUGGCCGACGCCAGCGCCGAGCCA
Long non-coding RNA from Cydia amplana, 533 nucleotides. RefSeq lists it as uncharacterized. The transcript has 4 exons. The record is from RefSeq and is a predicted model, not a curated record. Lineage: Eukaryota; Metazoa; Arthropoda; Insecta; Lepidoptera; Tortricidae.